This 87-nucleotide transfer RNA is filed under the name Candidatus Aalborgicola bjergmarkensis. Its description in RNAcentral is "tRNA-Leu". It matches the Rfam family "tRNA". From Rfam's summary of the family: Transfer RNA (tRNA) molecules are approximately 80 nucleotides in length. The record is from RNAcentral. Lineage: Bacteria; Pseudomonadati; Pseudomonadota; Betaproteobacteria; Burkholderiales; Comamonadaceae.
GCGACUGUGGCGGAAUAGGUAGACGCCCAAGACUUAAAAUCUUGUGUCCGUAAGGGCGUACCGGUUCGAUUCCGGUCAGUCGCACCA